RNAcentral lists this ribosomal RNA (447 nucleotides) under uncultured bacterium. RNAcentral describes it as "partial 16S ribosomal RNA". It matches the Rfam family "Bacterial small subunit ribosomal RNA", at positions 29 to 523 of the family's 1533-position model. The record is from RNAcentral.
AACGAACGCUGGCGGCAGGCUUAACACAUGCAAGUCGAGCGCCCCGCAAGGGGAGCGGCAGACGGGUGAGUAACGCGUGGGAACCUACCCUUUUCUACGGAAUAACGCAUGGAAACGUGUGCUAAUACCGUAUACGCCCUACGGGGGAAAGAUUUAUCGGAGAAGGCAGGGCCCGCGUUGGAGUAGCUAGUUGGUGGGGUAAAGGCCUACCAAGGCGACGAUCCAUAGCUGGUCUGAGAGGAUGAUCAGCCACAUUGGGACUGAGACACGGCCCAAACUCCUACGGGAGGCAGCAGUGGGGAAUAUUGGACAAUGGGCGCAAGCCUGAUCCAGCCAUGCCGCGUGAGUGAUGAAGGCCCUAGGGUUGUAAAGCUCUUUCACCGGAGAAGAUAAUGACGGUAUCCGAAGAAGAAGCCCCGGCUAACUUCGUGCCAGCCGCCGCCGUAA